UUUCGUUCACUGGAUUUGAUUUAAUUUAUGAUUCAGAAAACAUUUCUACUGAUGUCAAUUUAGCACAAUGCCUACCAAAUCUAAUAACACUCGCGGACAUUUAUGUGUUUAAUCCUCAAUCCAUCGAGACCAGCAAGAGAUUCAGAGAACGACGCGCGCGGACUGACAACAAGCGUUACUGAGUUUAAAAUACUGAUGAACUCUCUUCUUAGUGGACAAGACCGCAAGUGAUGCUGAAGGAUUGAGUGUUUGCUGAUCAGUUUUCAGGGUCAGUUUAGCUGCAGUAUGUCAGAGGAAAGAGGAAAGGACUCUCUCUCUCAGAUGAGUCUCUCAGAGAAACACAGUGUAAGAUCAGGCUCACAUGUGUCCAGCUCUGUGUCUCUGAAGAGUGAUCACUCUAAAGGUAGACCACCAGACUUCAGUGAGAAAACACCAUCAUCUAAUGAAAGG
Pimephales promelas (fathead minnow) is the source of this 450-nucleotide non-coding RNA. The record is from RefSeq and is a predicted model, not a curated record. Lineage: Eukaryota; Metazoa; Chordata; Actinopteri; Cypriniformes; Leuciscidae.